Non-coding RNA from Salmo salar (Atlantic salmon), 54 nucleotides. The record is from Rfam. Lineage: Eukaryota; Metazoa; Chordata; Actinopteri; Salmoniformes; Salmonidae.
GUAAAACAUGUAUUCAAGUCGCUUUGGAUAAAAGCAUCUGUUAAAUGGCAUUUU